CAGACUAUUCAUCUCUUUCCUGCCAACCUGCUGAGCUCCAUGUGAGGAUAAGCCACAGGAUACAACACGUGCUCUAAGUCUAAGAUUUGGGAUUCAUGCUUUUCUCUUUACUAAGAAGAGGCUUUAAAAUUCCAUGACUUCUGGGAAACCAAGAUGGUUCUGAAAAGUCCUCUCUCAUGGCCAAAGCGACGGACACAUCGAGGGCUCCCACGCUGUUGCUGCUGCUGCUGCUGCUGCUGCUGACGCCGUUCUAAUUCACUCAGCACACUGUCUACAUUCAAGACCUCUCGCACUGGUCUCCA
Molecule: long non-coding RNA, 302 nt
Organism: Labeo rohita (rohu)
Lineage: Eukaryota; Metazoa; Chordata; Actinopteri; Cypriniformes; Cyprinidae
Exons: 3
Source: RefSeq, a predicted model, not a curated record